AGCAUAUCAAUAAGCGGAGGAAAAGAAACCAACAGGGAUUGCCUCAGUAACGGCGAGUGAAGCGGCAAAAGCUCAAAUUUGAAAUCUGGCUCUUUCAGGGUCCGAGUUGUAAUUUGUAGAAGAUGCUUUGGGUGUGGUUCUGGUUUAAGUUCUUUGGAAUAUUACAUCAUAGAGGGUGAGAAUCCCGUAUGUGACCAGUCGCCGCGCCCGUGUAAAGCUCUUUCAACGAGUCGAGUUGUUUGGGAAUGCAGCUCAAAAUGGGAGGUAUAUUUCUUCUAAAGCUAAAUAUUGGCCAGAGACCGAUAGCGCACAAGUAGAGUGAUCGAAAGAUGAAAAGCACUUUGGAAAGAGAGUUAAACAGUACGUGAAAUUGUUGAAAGGGAAGCGCUUGCAACCAGACUUGCACGCAGUUGAUCAUCCGGUGUUCUCACCGGGGCACUCUGCUGCGUUCAGGCCAGCAUCGUUUUUGGUGGUUGGAUAAAGGCCUUGGGAAUGUAGCUCCUUUCGGGGAGUGUUAUAGCCCUCGGUGCAAUGCAGCCUACCGGGAACGAGGACCGCGCUUCGGCUAGGAUGCUGGCGUAAUGGUUGUAAGCGGCCCGU
This 600-nucleotide ribosomal RNA is filed under the name uncultured fungus. RNAcentral's name for it is "eukaryotic LSU rRNA". It matches the Rfam family "Eukaryotic large subunit ribosomal RNA", at positions 37 to 652 of the family's 3401-position model. Lineage: Eukaryota; Fungi. The record is from RNAcentral.